RNAcentral lists this transfer RNA (74 nucleotides) under Candidatus Curtissbacteria bacterium RIFCSPHIGHO2_02_FULL_42_15. RNAcentral's name for it is "tRNA-Met". It matches the Rfam family "tRNA". From Rfam's summary of the family: Transfer RNA (tRNA) molecules are approximately 80 nucleotides in length. Their secondary structure includes four short double-helical elements and three loops (D, anti-codon, and T loops). Further hydrogen bonds mediate the characteristic L-shaped molecular structure. tRNAs have two regions of fundamental functional importance: the anti-codon, which is responsible for specific mRNA codon recognition, and the 3' end, to which the tRNAs corresponding amino acid is attached (by aminoacyl-tRNA synthetases). tRNAs cope with the degeneracy of the genetic code in two manners: having more than one tRNA (with a specific anti-codon) for a particular amino acid; and 'wobble' base-pairing, i.e. permitting non-standard base-pairing at the 3rd anti-codon position. Lineage: Bacteria; Candidatus Curtissiibacteriota. The record is from RNAcentral.
CGCGGGGUAGAGAAACGGUAUCUCGGGAGGCUCAUAAUCUCCAGAAGUGGGUUCGACUCCCGCCCCCGCUACAA